GCUCGUGGAUCGAUGAAGACCGCAGCUAAAUGCGCGUCAGAAUGUGAACUGCAGGACACAUGAACACCGACACGUUGAACGCACAUGGCACAUCGGCUCGCCUCAAAACGACCGAUGUACACAUCCUUGAGUGUCUACUUACGUUGAACUAUCCUUUUGGUAAAACUCGACUACAACAUGCCACGCGGGCCUUGCCGCCGCGCUCAGCGAACCCCUCGCACGGGGUGAGGGCGCGCGCACACAGGCUGGCCGAGGUGGACGUUGUGCAUAACGGAGUGCUGGGCGCUGCCACGCGCAGCCCCAGGGCGCCGGUCCGGUGUGUGUAGGAUUGAGCGGGCGGCCGUCACUGGCCUGCACGCGCACGACGCGUGGUUCCCGGGUCGUCUGAUGUUGCGCUCGUAGCCUUCCCGAGGUCUACAAUGGUGCCAGAUGCUUACGACCGUCCCAAACGGGAGCCCGCUAGCCGUCGUGCGGUCGGUGCCUACAAGGUUCUGACGGUGCACGCGCUUGCCCCAAGUGGUCCUACACGCCCGACACACACAAACCCACUCUAACGUAGACCUCAGGUGAUGUGUGACUACCCCCUAAAUUUAAGCA
This 597-nucleotide ribosomal RNA is filed under the name Anopheles annulipes. RNAcentral describes it as "eukaryotic LSU rRNA". The stretch from base 1 to 136 matches the Rfam family "5.8S ribosomal RNA", at positions 24 to 154 of the family's 154-position model. Lineage: Eukaryota; Metazoa; Arthropoda; Insecta; Diptera; Culicidae. The record is from RNAcentral.